Molecule: ribosomal RNA, 253 nt
Filed under: uncultured bacterium
Lineage: Bacteria
Description: partial 16S ribosomal RNA
Rfam family: Bacterial small subunit ribosomal RNA
Source: RNAcentral
GACGUAGGGUGCGAGCGUUGUCCGGAUUUAUUGGGCGUAAAGAGCUCGUAGGCGGCUCGUCGCGUCAGCUGUGAAAACCCGCAGCUUAACUGUGGGCUUGCAGCUGAUACGGGCGGGCUAGAGUUCGGUAGGGGAGACUGGAAUUCCUGGUGUAGCGGUGAAAUGCGCAGAUAUCAGGAAGAACACCUAUGGCGAAGGCAGCACUCUGGGACGGUACUGACGCUGAGACGCGAAAGCGUGGGGAGCGAACAGG